This 61-nucleotide microRNA precursor is filed under the name Callorhinchus milii (elephant shark). RNAcentral describes it as "Cmi-Mir-216-P2a_pre stem-loop". The record is from RNAcentral. Lineage: Eukaryota; Metazoa; Chordata; Chondrichthyes; Chimaeriformes; Callorhinchidae.
UAAUCUCUGCAGGCAACUGUGAAGACCUGCCUCUAUCUCACAAUAGCCUCCAGAGGUUCUG